AGAAGCGGAGGGGCAAUGCCCCAUACUCCCUCAGGUGCACACCACACCUGCUCCCAGGAUGAGAUGCAUCCAUUGCACUCUGGCUGCGCUGACCCCUGCGAUUUCCCCAAAUGUGGGGAAACUCGACUGCAUAAAUUGUGGUAAUGGGGAACUGCAUUCACGCUCUCCCCU
RNAcentral lists this small nuclear RNA (171 nucleotides) under Sphenodon punctatus (tuatara). RNAcentral describes it as "U1 spliceosomal RNA (ENSSPUG00000000070.1)". It matches the Rfam family "U1 spliceosomal RNA". Rfam says of the family: U1 is a small nuclear RNA (snRNA) component of the spliceosome (involved in pre-mRNA splicing). Its 5' end forms complementary base pairs with the 5' splice junction, thus defining the 5' donor site of an intron. There are significant differences in sequence and secondary structure between metazoan and yeast U1 snRNAs, the latter being much longer (568 nucleotides as compared to 164 nucleotides in human). The record is from RNAcentral. Lineage: Eukaryota; Metazoa; Chordata; Lepidosauria; Sphenodontia; Sphenodontidae.